AGCUUGCUCCUUUGACGUUAGCGGCGGACGGGUGAGUAACACGUGGGUAACCUACCUAUAAGACUGGAAUAACUCCGGGAAACCGGGGCUAAUGCCGGAUAACAUUUAGAACCGCAUGGUUCUAAAGUGAAAGAUGGUUUUGCUAUCACUUAUAGAUGGACCCGCGCCGUAUUAGCUAGUUGGUAAGGUAACGGCUUACCAAGGCAACGAUACGUAGCCGACCUGAGAGGGUGAUCGGCCACACUGGAACUGAGACACGGUCCAGACUCCUACGGGAGGCAGCAGUAGGGAAUCUUCCGCAAUGGGCGAAAGCCUGACGGAGCAACGCCGCGUGAGUGAUGAAGGUCUUCGGAUCGUAAAACUCUGUUAUUAGGGAAGAACAAAUGUGUAAGUAACUAUGCACGUCUUGACGGUACCUAAUCAGAAAGCCACGGCUAACUACGUGCCAGCAGCCGCGGUAAUACGUAGGUGGCAAGCGUUAUCCGGAAUUAUUGGGCGUAAAGCGCGCGUAGGCGGUUUCUUAAGUCUGAUGUGAAAGCCCACGGCUCAACCGUGGAGGGUCAUUGGAAACUGGGAAACUUGAGUGCAGAAGAGGAAAGUGGAAUUCCAUGUGUAGCGGUGAAAUGCGCAGAGAUAUGGAGGAACACCAGUGGCGAAGGCGACUUUCUGGUCUGUAACUGACGCUGAUGUGCGAAAGCGUGGGGAUCAAACAGGAUUAGAUACCCUGGUAGUCCACGCCGUAAACGAUGAGUGCUAAGUGUUAGGGGGUUUCCGCCCCUUAGUGCUGCAGCUAACGCAUUAAGCACUCCGCCUGGGGAGUACGACCGCAAGGUUGAA
RNAcentral lists this ribosomal RNA (837 nucleotides) under Staphylococcus cohnii. Its description in RNAcentral is "bacterial SSU rRNA". It matches the Rfam family "Bacterial small subunit ribosomal RNA", at positions 77 to 898 of the family's 1533-position model. Lineage: Bacteria; Bacillati; Bacillota; Bacilli; Caryophanales; Staphylococcaceae. The record is from RNAcentral.